GGAGAGAUACCCAAGUGGCUGAAGGGGCGGGUUUGCUAAACCUGUAGUAGGAUUAUAUCCUAGCGAGGGUUCAAAUCCCUCUCUCUCCG
This 89-nucleotide transfer RNA is filed under the name Elusimicrobiota bacterium. Its description in RNAcentral is "tRNA-Ser". It matches the Rfam family "tRNA". From Rfam's summary of the family: Transfer RNA (tRNA) molecules are approximately 80 nucleotides in length. Lineage: Bacteria; Pseudomonadati; Elusimicrobiota. The record is from RNAcentral.